GGGAAUCUGCCCUUCGGUUGGGAAUAACUGAGAGAAAUUUCAGCUAAUACCUUAUAACGUCUUCGGACCAAAGAUUUAUCGCCGAGGGAUGAGCCCGCGUAGGAUUAGCUAGUUGGUGGGGUAAUGGCCUACCAAGGCGACGAUCCUUAGCUGGUCUGAGAGGAUGAUCAGCCACACUGGGACUGAGACACGGCCCAGACUCCUACGGGAGGCAGCAGUGGGGAAUAUUGGACAAUGGGCGAAAGCCUGACCCAGCAAUGCCGCGUGAGUGACGAAGGCCUUAGGGUUGUAAAGCUCUUUUACCAGGGAUGAUAAUGACAGUACCUGGAGAAUAAGCUCCAGCUAACUCCGUGCCAGCAGCCGCGGUAAUACGGAGGGAGCUAGCGUUGUUCGGAAUUACUGGGCGUAAAGCGCGCGUAGGCGGUUUCUCAAGUCAGAGGUGAAAGCCCGGGGCUCAACCCCGGAACUGCCUUUGAAACUAGGAGACUAGAAUCUUGGAGAGGUCAGUGGAAUUCCGAGU
Molecule: ribosomal RNA, 520 nt
Filed under: uncultured bacterium
Lineage: Bacteria
Description: bacterial SSU rRNA
Rfam family: Bacterial small subunit ribosomal RNA
Source: RNAcentral